RNAcentral lists this long non-coding RNA (234 nucleotides) under Gallus gallus (chicken). The record is from RNAcentral. Lineage: Eukaryota; Metazoa; Chordata; Aves; Galliformes; Phasianidae.
GGUGGUUGCAAACGGCGUCAUGCAAAACCUUCCCUGGAGCUCUUUGCGGAACUUCAAAAGUUUCUUGUGUGUCAUCCAGCAUCUGAAUUUUGAUGGAGAUGAGUUUUCCUGGUGGCGUCAGUGGUGGUUUCUGUCCAUGCUCCAAGGUACUGAUCCCAGCAUUCUCCUGAGCUCCUAACCGGGAUCCUGCUGUUGGCCUCUGCUCUGUUUCACCCAUGUUUAGAGAGAAGUGUU